AUGGGGCGACAGAGACCUCUGGGCUCACCUGCAAGCUGGUGGUAGGAGGAGUCUCCAGGCUAACCACCUGAGGUUGUCUGGGGUCCCAGCCUCCUGCCACUUCCUGUAGCAAGUACUGGGGCCCAGCAGGCUAGACUGACAACUCCUGCAGACCAAGGCAAGCACCGUUGGGGAGGAACUGAGGGCCCAAGGAGGAGCAACCUCCAGCCUGUGAAGUAAAACCUGCAGGGGGAGUCACCCAGGUACGGAUGCAUCCUCCCUUACUCUGAUGAGGACGGCGGACACCUGCACCAACUGAAAAUCACAGGCUCCAAAACAAGCUCUGGAAACACCUUGAGACCUAGAGCCACCUGCACCUCUGCUGCCCGCUACAGCUCCAGAGCCAGAGCAAGCUCAAGCCACAGCUCUCACUUAAGUUCAAAGACAAGAUCAAGUGAAUAUGCCAGCUCCAAUUCCACAACCAGGGCAUGCUUAUGCCCUAGCUCUCAUUUAAUCUCAAACGGGAGAAAAAGCAUCUACACAGGCUUCAAUUCCUGAUCCAGAGAAGGUUCCAGCAACAGCUCUCGUCCCAUCUUCAGAGCCUGAAUCAUCACAGAAACCUGUCCUAGUGCUUCCUCUACAACUUCAGCCGGUUUCCUCAACAGCCUCAGUUCAGAGCUGAAGCCACCUCGAGCGAGGGCACUGCCCCUGGCUCUGGAGCCCAUCGUGCUUUGGCACCAGCUGUGGCUGGCCCCGGAGUGUAUCCAGCUCCAGUUCUGCAUUAGAGACCACAGCAGACCCAGUUCUUCUAGUUACUCAGGUGCUAGAGCCAGUUCCUCCCUUAAGAUCCCUGGAGCUGCUGCCAGCUCAGCCACAAGCACAAGCCCAUCACAUGCAGAGCCUUCAGGGCCGAAUUAGGAGCUGCCCCAGUGCCUACAGCAGCGCUGGAGCCUUUC
Molecule: long non-coding RNA, 935 nt
Organism: Balaenoptera musculus (blue whale)
Lineage: Eukaryota; Metazoa; Chordata; Mammalia; Artiodactyla; Balaenopteridae
Exons: 3
Source: RefSeq, a predicted model, not a curated record